ACUUCCAAGAUAUAUAGAGACUGGUAGGCGCGCUUAUACCUGUAAAAUUUGACGCCAAAUGCGGCGCUAGGUAAACUCAAUCCAUAGAUGGCGCCAGGGUGAUCAGUGUACUUCAAAUGAAUGUCAUUUAAAUUGUUUUAGGUUAUGAUGUUAUGACCAAAAAUUUUGUACUUAGCGACUUGGUGUGGUUUGGCAUCUACAGUGUGUUAUACCUAGUUAUUAUUGCAAACAAUUUCGGUAAAUAAAAUAGACAAGUAGGUACUAAUUGGAUGUAUAAGCAAGCAAACUUGCACUUCGCACUGUUCACUUUGCUAAAGUUAAAAGUUACAGAGGAAUGGGGGAUUCCACUGAAAAGGAUACUCGUUAUCACAGUAAAUAGUAGCGCAAUACCUGCAUUACUGACUUCUCACCUCGCCUAGCUGUCGGAGCUUGUACUGGAUCAAGCGAAGUCAACAGGUCAUUGAUCAAUGUAAACCAUGUGAACAAACCAGGAGCCACCCUUCGUAUAUUAAGAGAAGCAUCAAAUGACCCUCACCUACACAAUCUACGGUGUAAGCAAUCAUGCCGAGAGAUAGAUUCUCGGCUGCUGAGAUGUGGAUUAGAGGAACUAGCAAAAGUCUACAUUAUUACUGUUAAGAUGGAAGGUAGGGGACCCGACUUGUUCAACCUACCUUGUUAUUUUAUAACUUAAUCUCGGAAGCUCCAGGGAUCUAAAUUCUUGAUAGAAGGGGACUAGUGCAAUAACUUUAACCAACUUCCGUUCCAGGAGUGUGGCAGUGCUGGAGGCUGAACUACAAAACGGAAGUAGGAAAAUGUGGCUUAUCCUAACCUUAGUCAACUUCCCAUCUAACGCCUCUGCAAAACGACCAACUUCGGACUUCAGAAGAAUGACAAUCACUCCCAUCACAGUGUGUGGGAAACACAACUACACUACACUUCUGCACAGCUUCCUUGCUGUCGGUCUCAUGCCGAGUACAAUUACUUAGUUGUCGCUCUCCUACUUUCCAUGGAAAUUUAAAAUAAAGAUGCGUUAAAACAUA
This is a long non-coding RNA of Photinus pyralis (common eastern firefly), 1040 nucleotides long. RefSeq lists it as uncharacterized. Lineage: Eukaryota; Metazoa; Arthropoda; Insecta; Coleoptera; Lampyridae. The transcript is spliced from 2 exons. The record is from RefSeq and is a predicted model, not a curated record.